GUGCUUGCUUCGGCAGCACAUAUACUAAAAU
This 31-nucleotide small nuclear RNA is filed under the name Cervus elaphus hippelaphus. Lineage: Eukaryota; Metazoa; Chordata; Mammalia; Artiodactyla; Cervidae. The record is from RNAcentral.